GAUUUUCCUUAUUUAUACAGGCUUGAGAAAAUGAUUCGGCUUAGGGAUGGCCACACUCAAGGCAUGGUAUUCACUGGGACCAAGGACUUAACUAGGAUCGUGGCCAAAUGUUGGGCCGGCAUAUUAAUAAUCGAAGUUAACUUGCCGAUGGUUUCAACGACGGAACUGCAGAAUGCUAGUGGGAACUAAGGUGUUCGUGGUUUACUCAGGGCAACACUCAUGUGAGCUAGCCAAGACACACAUGGUCUAUUUUCUUUGUGGAUUUCAAAUAUCUCAUAUGUUCGUUCCAAAAUUGGUAUAUAUAUCAAUCCUGAACAAGAAUAUCUGUUAAGUAACUGUUGGGUGCCACGCUGCUAUCGAGCGUGUUCCUGUCUACAGAGCAGCAUAAAUUGUUAACCAAAAGAUUGUAUGUGACCUUUCGUCUGCCCCCGCGUCGCCCAGGGGCGAAUCGGGCGGCGCCGCCGCCCUUCCCUCUCGUUCCCCCGGCCCUCCCUCCCCUUGCCGUGCCGCCACUGGAGCUCGCCACCGGAAGCCCAUGUGGCCGCGAUGAAGGUGGCGGCGGGCUCAUCUUCCCAACCCUCUCUCCCCAACUCUCUAGAUCUAGAUCGAUUUCAUGGGCGGCGGCGGCUGGUGGCUGGUAGCUGGUAGCGGGGGCCUGGCAGCGUGCGGCCCGGCCCCCAGUGGCAGGAGUCCGGCGGCCGGCGGCCUUGCUCGGCCUCCCAUGGUGGGGGCUCGACGGCCAGCGGCCUGUGGCGUGGCGCUUGGCGAAUGUGCCGUGGCUCCCCGUGGCUGGUGGCGGGGGCCUAGCGGCAUGCGAUGCGGCUCGCAGUGGCAGGGUCCAGUGGCCGGCGGCCUGGCGUGGCAUCCUGUGGCGGGGGCUCAGCGGCUGAUAGCCCGUGGCCGGUGCCCGGCGGCCGGCGGCCUGGCGCGGCCCGUGCCUAUGUCGGCGGCGGUCCAUGCCUGUGACGGCGGUGGUGGCGGACCGUGGCUCCGACGGCAAGUGGCGGAUACGGCGAUAGCGAGUGCAGAACCGAUCUCUACUGUGCUGAGCUCCAGGUGGAGGGCGUCUUUCGCCUCCGGUGGCCGCUGCCGUGGAGGGCUUGCCUCCGAUUGCUGCCCUCCCGUCUGGGAGUUGCUGGGUGCCUAUGGGCAUGUUGAUGGUGCUGUCUAGGAUCGCCGGUCAUCGUGUAUUGCUUCUUGAUGUGUAGGUUCUCGGGCGAAAGUCGUGCUUGGCUGCCGGUGAUGACGGUGCUAUGUGUAUCGUUUUCCUUUUUGAAGGCAUUAUCGUGAGUACCUCGACCUAGAGGGACAGAUCCACGUGAAAACCAGAGAAUCAACACAAUGGUUCGGGCAGUGAUAGCAUCUUGAUGUUGCUCUCCUCUUGAGGCGUCGUCUUGGAGUCCUUGUUGGUGGCACCUUGGUCAGCUUGGAGCAAUGGCGGUGCCUAAUAUAUUGUGUAGUAGAGAUCGACUCAGUGCGGUUUAUACAUCAUGGGGUGGCCAGACAGCGCAAGACCAUCGACGUUCCUUACAUCAAGAGUUUCUAAGAAGAUAGUAGAUGUGAGACUUUUAUUACUGCAUGAGGACCAAAGCAAGGUUGAAGGAAGGACAUGGAAGAAGUUCGAAACUUAGUCUUUUAUGCUUUCUUUCUUAUUUCUUACUUUUUUUUCGAGACCGUGCCUAAUCAUGUAUUUCAUUAGGAGAAAGAGAGUUACAACGACGCAGCUUUAAGAGAA
Molecule: long non-coding RNA, 1735 nt
Organism: Panicum virgatum (switchgrass)
Lineage: Eukaryota; Viridiplantae; Streptophyta; Magnoliopsida; Poales; Poaceae
Exons: 2
Source: RefSeq, a predicted model, not a curated record